Molecule: ribosomal RNA, 878 nt
Filed under: uncultured marine bacterium
Lineage: Bacteria
Description: bacterial SSU rRNA
Rfam family: Bacterial small subunit ribosomal RNA
Source: RNAcentral
UGCAAGUCGAACGGUAACAUUGGUGCUUGCACCAGAUGACGAGUGGCGCACGGGUGCGUAACGCGCAUGCAAUCUACCUUUUACUAGAGUAUAGCCCAGAGAAAUUUGGAUUAAUCCUCUAUAAUAUCUUUUAAUUUCAUGAUUUUAAGAUUAAAGUUUUAACGGUAAAAGAUGAGCAUGCGUCCUAUUAGUUUGUAGGUGAGGUAACGGCUCACCUAGACUACGAUAGGUAGGGGCCCUGAGAGGGGGAUCCCCCACACUGGUACUGAGACACGGACCAGACUCCUACGGGAGGCAGCAGUAAGGAAUAUUGGACAAUGGACGAAAGUCUGAUCCAGCCAUGCCGCGUGCAGGAUGAAAGCCCUAUGGGUUGUAAACUGCUUUUAUACAGGAAGAACACUCCGACGUGUCGGAGCUUGACGGUACUGUAAGAAUAAGGAUCGGCUAACUCCGUGCCAGCAGCCGCGGUAAUACGGGAGGAUCCAAAGCGUUAUCCGGAAUCAUUGGGUUUAAAGGGUCCGCAGGGCUGUUUUUUAGGUCAGAGGUGAAAUCCUACAGCUCACCUGUAGAACUGCCUUUUGAUACUGAAAAACUUGAGUUAUUGUGAAGUGGUUAGAAUGUGUGGUGUAGCGGUGAAAUGCAUAGAUAUCACACAGAAUACCGAUUGCGAAGGCAGAUCACUAACAAUAUACCUGACGCUCAUGGACGAAAGCGUGGGGAGCGAACAGGAUUAGAUACCCUGGUAGUCCACGCCGUAAACGAUGGAUACUAGCUGGUCGUCUAACAUUGGUUAGAUGAGUGGCUAAGCGAAAGUGAUAAGUAUCCCACCUGGGGAGUACGGUCGCAAGACUGAAACUCAAAGGAAUUGACGGGGGCCC